AUACGUAGGGAGCGAGCGUUGUCCGGAAUUACUGGGCGUAAAGGGCGCGUAGGCGGCGCUUCAAGUCGUCUGUCAAAUGGGAGGGCUUAACCCUUUUUCGCAGACGGAACUGGAGAGCUUGAGAAGCAGAGAGGCAAACAGAAUUCCUGGUGUAGCGGUGAAAUGCGUAGAUAUCAGGAAGAAUACCAGUGGCGAAGGCGGUUUGCUGGCUGCAUACUGACGCUGAAGCGCGAAAGCCAGGGGAGCAAACGGGAUUAGAUACCCCGGUAGUCCUGGCAGUAAACGAUGUAUGCUGGGUGUGAGACUGGCGAUAGUUUCGUGCCGAAGUUAACGCGAUAAGCAUACCGCCUGGGGAGUACGGUCGCAAGAUUGAAACUCAAAGGAAUUGACGGGG
Molecule: ribosomal RNA, 394 nt
Filed under: uncultured bacterium
Lineage: Bacteria
Description: partial 16S ribosomal RNA
Rfam family: Bacterial small subunit ribosomal RNA
Source: RNAcentral